UCGGUCCUACGGGGCGCAGCAGUGGGGAAUAUUGCACAAUGGGGGAAACCCUGAUGCAGCAACGCCGCGUGAGUGAAGAAGUAUUUCGGUAUGUAAAGCUCUAUCAGCAGGGAAGAGAAUGACGGUACCUGACUAAGAAGCCCCGGCUAACUACGUGCCAGCAGCCGCGGUAAUACGUAGGGGGCGAGCGUUAUCCGGAUUUACUGGGUGUAAAGGGAGCGUAGACGGUUCUGCAAGUCUGAUGUGAAAGGCCAGGGCUCAACCCUGGGACUGCAUUGGAAACUGUUUAACUGGAGUGUCGGAGG
RNAcentral lists this ribosomal RNA (305 nucleotides) under uncultured bacterium. RNAcentral's name for it is "bacterial SSU rRNA". It matches the Rfam family "Bacterial small subunit ribosomal RNA", at positions 333 to 655 of the family's 1533-position model. The record is from RNAcentral.